Molecule: long non-coding RNA, 1731 nt
Organism: Panicum hallii
Lineage: Eukaryota; Viridiplantae; Streptophyta; Magnoliopsida; Poales; Poaceae
Exons: 3
Source: RefSeq, a predicted model, not a curated record
CAGCCCGGAUAGGAGAGCGAGAAAGCUCAAAAGGCACAGUGGUUGUUGCUGUUGCCCAAGAUGCCCGGCCGGCCUAACCUGCCCCGCGCCCCUCUCUCAGAGCUCGCGGUGUAGUACGCUAGUACCGGAAGUACACCGCGCCUCCCCCGGCUUGUGCAGUACAACUGCGGACUUGUGGUUACGAUCGCUGGCGGUCGUCGUGGUUGUACUCCCAUAUCUUCCGGCCCGCCUAGCUAAGCUAGCUUGUUGCGUCUCUGAUCAGGGAUGGCAUUGUCUGUCUUGCGUGGGCGGCGGCAUCUUUGCCCCCCACCUUUUGCAUUGCGUCUCGCCUCGCCCCGGCCGGCCGGGGGGGCGUGCGUGCUUUGCCUUGGCCAUCCAUCUCCGAUCCUCGUCUUUACAGCCUGAAGAUUUAGCUUCGGUGAUUACAAAGAUGUUGGAGGUUAUGGAUAAAUAAAUCAGCCCGGGUCCGACGAUAGUGUGUACAUCCUGGAAGAUUACAAUACAAACUUUGCCAGAGUAUGUCGGCACAGGAGCAGCCCCUGCCAACGAGGUACCCGUAGUAUCAGAUUCAGAUGCUUUUGGUGCUGCUGCCCAGUGCCCACUGGAAUUUUUCUUCUCCGAAUUGCUGCUGCUGCGAAAGGGGUUUAGCCCGGCUGGUGAAUUUUUCCCGUGUCGCGUAAAAAAAAUUGUUCCCAUUCUAAAGCAUAGUUGGAGCUCGGCCUUCUCACGGAUGAUAAGCUACUGUAUAUAGGUGGAGCAGAGGUUCGGAAGGUUUCCUUCUUGAUACAAUGCCGUGGGGCGGUCUUUCCCCAGGUAAAGUUUUUCCGAACUGCUGCUGCUGGUCGUCGGAUCAUGUGGGCUUUCUUUUCCUGGCCCACGCCCAGUCUCCUUCACGGGGAAGGCCCAAAGGCAGAGACGGAGUUUGCUCGGAUAAGGCCCACCAACAGCUUAGGUCCAGAUUUUGCAAGGAGGGGCCGACCAACUUCAAGGUACAUUCCUGUCAAAAAAAAAAAGAACUUCAAGGUACAUGGCGUCAAAAAAGAAAACCCCCCUUCAAGGAACACUGUUCAAGUUGCUUCAGAUGAAUCUUUUCCUUCUAAAGAACGUUUCAGGUGGAUCGCAGGAUCGGUGAAGACUGAAGUGUUCAUAUGGUGUCCAGCUCGUGCAAGUGCAACCUAUGUUUUCCGGUAUCCAUUCGCAGUGGUGCGUGCCAAGCUUGCCACAGCUAAACAUAGGCAAGCACACUUAAAUAAGAUGGGUAUGGGUCCAUGGCGUACAAGAGACUAGCGCUUCGUUUGCUGAUUUCCCCAAAGAUCACAGCAACAGCAAGCAAGCUAGCGAGAGCUGUCCUGAUCUGACUCACUCCACGCUCCCUCGCUGUCCUGUCCAGCGUGACCGCGUGCCGUGCGACCGUGUCUGUACUCUGUACUGUGCCUUGUUCACUGUGCUCCGGUGAAAAAAUACUGGUUUUGCUGGCAUGCGCCGUCUCUAAUUCCAAGAAAUUUGCAAGUUCCAGCUCAAGCAAAUUUCAGCCAAAUUUUUACCAUACCAAGGAAGAGCCAGGUCAAGUUUGAUUAGUUUGAGGAGAUAUCCAUCGGAUCCCGCGUUGCCGUCAGAUCCAAAAACCGGAGUGUAUCCCAUGCCACCAGCAAGGCAGCAACGUCUGGAGUCUGUACGGCCAAACCAUGGGCCGGACGACACGGCAGGUCGGCACGGCUGGACCAAACGCGC